Molecule: long non-coding RNA, 748 nt
Filed under: Bemisia tabaci
Lineage: Eukaryota; Metazoa; Arthropoda; Insecta; Hemiptera; Aleyrodidae
Description: lncRNA ENSSSA1NGG002162
Source: RNAcentral
AUGGAUGACGAUGGUGACAAGAAGAGAAAAGGCAGGAAGGACUCCAAGUCGAAAAAGUCAAAGAAAGGAAGACGCAGCCCUGUCACUUUGGUGGAAGAAGCUCCGAAAUUACCUACGCCACCUCCUGAAUAUGUCACUGUCAAGAAAGUUGUGACGAAAGUAGUGCCGGCCCCUCAACUUCACUGCCACUUUGGUGCAGUGAAUGGGAACAAAAUUGAUAUAAACCAGCAGUAUGCUUACUUCAUCCGUCAAUGUUACCAUCCAGUUCCACUUACUGAUACUUGGGAAGAAGCUGUGGCUGAGAUGCCUGUCUACUUCUUGGUUGGGUCUAUCAGCGGAAAUUUUUGCCUGGUCUCCGGACUUUAAUCAAACAAGUAAGAUUUCAUCAUUUCUGUGUGUAUACUAUUUGACUGCAUUUUACUAUCUCAGAAUUUCUCAGAAAUGCUAGAAGAUCUAGAGCUAUCUUUUGGGAGAAGGACACAUGAGCUUAUCGACGGUGAAACUACCAAACCACGUAUCUCGUUUGCGGUGUUUAAAAAUCUACGCUCGCAUUUUAUUUUUUUGAAGUAGACCAAAUCAAUAUCAUUCCUUGAAAUUUUCACAGAAUUUUCUCCGCACGAAGAGGAAAAAUCACAAAAAUUUUCAAGACUGGACGUUAAGUAGUUUUUAAUUUAAAAAAUAAAGUAUGACAGGUAGUCUGCGACGUCGCAAACCGAGAUACGUGGUUUGAUAGUUUCACCGUCGUUAU